This 440-nucleotide ribosomal RNA is filed under the name uncultured bacterium. RNAcentral's name for it is "bacterial SSU rRNA". It matches the Rfam family "Bacterial small subunit ribosomal RNA", at positions 338 to 795 of the family's 1533-position model. The record is from RNAcentral.
CCUANGGGUGGCAGCAGUGGGGAAUUUUGCGCAAUGGGCGAAAGCCUGACGCAGCAACGCCGCGUGCGGGAUGAAGGCUCUCGGGUCGUAAACCGCUUUCAGCAGGGAUGAAAUUGACAGUACCUGCAGAAGAAGCCCCGGCUAAAUACGUGCCAGCAGCCGCGGUAAUACGUAUGGGGCAAGCGUUAUCCGGAUUCAUUGGGCGUAAAGAGCGCGUAGGCGGAUUGUUAAGUCAGAUGUGAAAACUGGGGGCUCAACCCGCAGCCUGCAUCUGAAACUGGCAGUCUUGAGUCUGGUAGAGGAGUGUGGAAUUCCCAGUGUAGCGGUGAAAUGCGCAGAUAUUGGGAGGAACACCAGUGGCGAAGGCGGCACUCUGGGCCACGACUGACGCUGAGGCGCGAAAGCUAGGGGAGCAAACAGGAUUAGAUACCACANUANUC